RNAcentral lists this ribosomal RNA (912 nucleotides) under Burkholderia sp. E1BS18_pA. RNAcentral's name for it is "bacterial SSU rRNA". It matches the Rfam family "Bacterial small subunit ribosomal RNA", at positions 8 to 916 of the family's 1533-position model. Lineage: Bacteria; Pseudomonadati; Pseudomonadota; Betaproteobacteria; Burkholderiales; Burkholderiaceae. The record is from RNAcentral.
AGAGUUUGAUCAUGGCUCAGAUUGAACGCUGGCGGCAUGCCUUACACAUGCAAGUCGAACGGCAGCACGGGGGCAACCCUGGUGGCGAGUGGCGAACGGGUGAGUAAUACAUCGGAACGUGUCCUGUAGUGGGGGAUAGCCCGGCGAAAGCCGGAUUAAUACCGCAUACGCUCUACGGAGGAAAGGGGGGGAUCUUAGGACCUCCCGCUACAGGGGCGGCCGAUGGCAGAUUAGCUAGUUGGUGGGGUAAAGGCCUACCAAGGCGACGAUCUGUAGCUGGUCUGAGAGGACGACCAGCCACACUGGGACUGAGACACGGCCCAGACUCCUACGGGAGGCAGCAGUGGGGAAUUUUGGACAAUGGGGGAAACCCUGAUCCAGCAAUGCCGCGUGUGUGAAGAAGGCCUUCGGGUUGUAAAGCACUUUUGUCCGGAAAGAAAACCUCCGACUUAAUACCUUGGGGGGAUGACGGUACCGGAAGAAUAAGCACCGGCUAACUACGUGCCAGCAGCCGCGGUAAUACGUAGGGUGCAAGCGUUAAUCGGAAUUACUGGGCGUAAAGCGUGCGCAGGCGGUCCGCUAAGACAGAUGUGAAAUCCCCGGGCUUAACCUGGGAACUGCAUUUGUGACUGGCGGGCUAGAGUAUGGCAGAGGGGGGUAGAAUUCCACGUGUAGCAGUGAAAUGCGUAGAGAUGUGGAGGAAUACCGAUGGCGAAGGCAGCCCCCUGGGCCAAUACUGACGCUCAUGCACGAAAGCGUGGGGAGCAAACAGGAUUAGAUACCCUGGUAGUCCACGCCCUAAACGAUGUCAACUAGUUGUCGGGUCUUCAUUGACUUGGUAACGUAGCUAACGCGUGAAGUUGACCGCCUGGGGAGUACGGUCGCAAGAUUAAAACUCAAAGGAAUUGACGG